UAACACAUGCAAGUCGAGCGGAUGAAAGGAGCUUGCUCCUUGAUUCAGCGGCGGACGGGUGAGUAAUGCCUAGGAAUCUGCCUAUUAGUGGGGGACAACGUUUCGAAAGGAACGCUAAUACCGCAUACGUCCUACGGGAGAAAGCAGGGGACCUUCGGGCCUUGCGCUAAUAGAUGAGCCUAGGUCGGAUUAGCUAGUUGGUGAGGUAAUGGCUCACCAAGGCGACGAUCCGUAACUGGUCUGAGAGGAUGAUCAGUCACACUGGAACUGAGACACGGUCCAGACUCCUACGGGAGGCAGCAGUGGGGAAUAUUGGACAAUGGGCGAAAGCCUGAUCCAGCCAUGCCGCGUGUGUGAAGAAGGUCUUCGGAUUGUAAAGCACUUUAAGUUGGGAGGAAGGGUUGUAGAUUAAUACUCUGCAAUUUUGACGUUACCGACAGAAUAAGCACCGGCUAACUCUGUGCCAGCAGCCGCGGUAAUACAGAGGGUGCAAGCGUUAAUCGGAAUUACUGGGCGUAAAGCGCGCGUAGGUGGUUCGUUAAGUUGGAUGUGAAAUCCCCGGGCUCAACCUGGGAACUGCAUUCAAAACUGUCGAGCUAGAGUAUGGUAGAGGGUGGUGGAAUUUCCUGUGUAGCGGUGAAAUGCGUAGAUAUAGGAAGGAACACCAGUGGCGAAGGCGACCACCUGGACUGAUACUGACACU
Molecule: ribosomal RNA, 703 nt
Filed under: Pseudomonas sp.
Lineage: Bacteria; Pseudomonadati; Pseudomonadota; Gammaproteobacteria; Pseudomonadales; Pseudomonadaceae
Description: bacterial SSU rRNA
Rfam family: Bacterial small subunit ribosomal RNA
Source: RNAcentral